AGCCUCUUGGUGCUUACCACAGGCUGUGUUCUUACAAGACCAUAUAGAAAGAGGAGAAAAAGUACACUUACCCCAUUUACACUUCAGCCCAGGCCCUAUGCCUGGUCUGUACUAUGAAUGGGGAGACAGGG
RNAcentral lists this small nucleolar RNA (131 nucleotides) under Castor canadensis (American beaver). Its description in RNAcentral is "Small nucleolar RNA SNORA51 (ENSCCNG00000006793.1)". It matches the Rfam family "Small nucleolar RNA SNORA51". From Rfam's summary of the family: ACA51 is a member of the H/ACA class of snoRNA that guide the sites of modification of uridines to pseudouridines. Lineage: Eukaryota; Metazoa; Chordata; Mammalia; Rodentia; Castoridae. The record is from Rfam by way of RNAcentral.